This is a ribosomal RNA of Nicotiana attenuata, 322 nucleotides long. It matches the Rfam family "Bacterial large subunit ribosomal RNA", at positions 42 to 477 of the family's 2925-position model. Lineage: Eukaryota; Viridiplantae; Streptophyta; Magnoliopsida; Solanales; Solanaceae. The record is from Rfam.
AGAGACGAGGAAGGGCGUAGUAAUCGACGAAAUGCUUCGGGGAGUUGAAAAUAAGCAUAGAUCCGGAGAUUCUGAAUAGGGCAACCUUUCGAACUGCUGCUGAAUCCAUGGGCAGGCAAGAGGCAACCUGGCGAACUGAAACAUCUUAGUAGCCAGAGGAAAAGAAAGCAAAAGUGAUUCCCGUAGUAGCGGCGAGCGAAAUGAGAGCAGCCUAAACCGUGAAAACGGGACAACUUAAAAAAUGGAUAACCAAUGAGUUUGACUUUAAAAUUUACAAAGACUCAAAUUGGAGGUUUUUUAAGUUGGGGAGACUAGAAUUUCU